This 73-nucleotide transfer RNA is filed under the name Lactiplantibacillus plantarum. RNAcentral describes it as "Lactobacillus plantarum tRNA-Pro". It matches the Rfam family "tRNA". From Rfam's summary of the family: Transfer RNA (tRNA) molecules are approximately 80 nucleotides in length. Their secondary structure includes four short double-helical elements and three loops (D, anti-codon, and T loops). Further hydrogen bonds mediate the characteristic L-shaped molecular structure. tRNAs have two regions of fundamental functional importance: the anti-codon, which is responsible for specific mRNA codon recognition, and the 3' end, to which the tRNAs corresponding amino acid is attached (by aminoacyl-tRNA synthetases). tRNAs cope with the degeneracy of the genetic code in two manners: having more than one tRNA (with a specific anti-codon) for a particular amino acid; and 'wobble' base-pairing, i.e. permitting non-standard base-pairing at the 3rd anti-codon position. The record is from RNAcentral. RNAcentral also lists the same sequence under 5 other names. Lineage: Bacteria; Bacillati; Bacillota; Bacilli; Lactobacillales; Lactobacillaceae.
CGGGAAAUAGCUCAGCUUGGUAGAGCACCUGGUUUGGGACCAGGGGUCGCAGGUUCGAAUCCUGUUUUCCCGA